GACGAGUUUCUCUGCAGCAGGUUCGGGUCGAACGUAGUGAGACAACGGAGCCGCUUGCGGCGACGGCCCGCAGGGCGAGGCGAAGCCGAGUCAUCCUGCACGACCCACCA
This 110-nucleotide small RNA is filed under the name Klebsiella pneumoniae subsp. pneumoniae. Its description in RNAcentral is "partial RtT sRNA". It matches the Rfam family "RtT RNA", at positions 21 to 130 of the family's 130-position model. Rfam says of the family: This family represents a bacterial cis-regulatory element known as RtT RNA. The exact function of RtT is unknown although it is thought that it may be involved in changing the cellular response in relation to amino acid starvation. Lineage: Bacteria; Pseudomonadati; Pseudomonadota; Gammaproteobacteria; Enterobacterales; Enterobacteriaceae. The record is from RNAcentral.